Molecule: unclassified non-coding RNA, 301 nt
Organism: Callithrix jacchus (white-tufted-ear marmoset)
Lineage: Eukaryota; Metazoa; Chordata; Mammalia; Primates; Cebidae
Rfam family: Metazoan signal recognition particle RNA
About the family: The signal recognition particle (SRP) is a universally conserved ribonucleoprotein. It is involved in the co-translational targeting of proteins to membranes.
Source: Ensembl
GCUUUCAAAAAUAGAUAACCUAUAGUCCCAGCUACUCGGGAGGCUGAGGUGGGAGGAUCUCUUGAGCCCAGGAGUUCUGGGCUGGAGUGCGUUAUGCCGAUCGGGUGUCUGCACUAAGUUCGGCAUCAAUAUGGUGACCUCCCGGGAGUGGGGGACCACCAGGUUGCCUAAGGAGGGGUGAACUGGCCCAGGUCGGAAAUAGAGCAGGUCAAAACUCCCGUGCUGAUCAGUAGUGGGAUCGCACCUGUGAAUAGCCAUUGCACUCCAGCCUGGAGUGCAACAUAGCAAGACCCCGUCUCUC